CCCUAUGGGGUGCACCAGGCAAUCGAUCAAUAAGAACCGAUCGCGGUGUAUGGCGACUAUGAUGUGGAUGGGGUCACAGCUACCGUUCUAAUGGUGCAGGUGCUGAGAAAAUUUGGCGCAUCGGUUGUCCCGCAUAUCCCCAACCGAUUUGAAGAGGGCUAUGGAUUGAACAUGCAAUCCAUCGACCCGCUGGCGCAGAGCGGAACCAAGGUGAUUCUCACUGUCGAUUGCGGCAUCCGUUCGCCGCGUGAAGCGGAAUAUGCAAAGAAAGUAGGGGUUGAUCUCAUCAUCAGCGACCACCACUUUCCGCAGGAUGUAUUACCAGAUGCCCUUGCAGUCAUCUGUCCCAAACAAGCAGGAGAUGCCUACCCGUUCAAGGAAUUGGCGGGGGGGC
Molecule: ribosomal RNA, 394 nt
Filed under: uncultured prokaryote
Description: partial 16S ribosomal RNA
Source: RNAcentral